UGAGACCAGCUGAGCAAUGCU
Molecule: microRNA, 21 nt
Filed under: Monodelphis domestica (gray short-tailed opossum)
Lineage: Eukaryota; Metazoa; Chordata; Mammalia; Didelphimorphia; Didelphidae
Description: mdo-miR-7369-3p
Source: miRBase by way of RNAcentral